Molecule: ribosomal RNA, 253 nt
Filed under: uncultured bacterium
Lineage: Bacteria
Description: partial 16S ribosomal RNA
Rfam family: Bacterial small subunit ribosomal RNA
Source: RNAcentral
UACGUAGGAUGCAAGCGUUGUCCGACUUUAUUGGGUUUAAAGGGUGCGUAGGCGGCCUCUUAAGUUAGUGGUGAAAACGCUCGGCUUAACCGGAUACCCGCCAUUGAUACUGAUAGACUUGAGUGCGACAGAGGGUGUUGGAAUGUGUGGUGUAGCGGUGAAAUGCUUAGAGAUCACGCAGAACACCAAUUGCGAAGGCAGAUGCCUAUGUCGUAACUGACGCUGAGGCACGAAAGAGUGGGGAGCAAACAGG